CAACAUUCCGAUGUUCUUGUUGUAUAUUCUGGUAGGUAUAUUGGUUAAACUCACUCUUGGCAUACAGUUUGAUGUCAUCCAUGUAGAGGAGGUGGUUCAUUGGAGCUCUGCUCUUGAACCUGUGUCUUUAUGAUUACCUGGUUGAGCUGAUUGAGACCUGUGUAGGAUGGCAUGAGGAUAGCGCAUCAACUUGGUAUAUGCCAUGUUUAAUGUUUAUUUGUGUUAUUGUCCUGGAAUUGACUUAUAGUGUUGCUCUCCACUUGCAUAGUGAGGUCUUGAGGAAUGCUCUUAGUGUCUUGCUGAUAUGGUAUACUAUCCAAGCAAUCCAGGAUCUAUGUGUGUGGCAUUGUGCCAUAGGAUUUUUUGUAGUUAAUCCAGGCUGUGCACAGAUUGGUCUUUUUAGUCUUUGAAUCCUACGUGACUGCUUGGUCUACCAGUACCUAGUGUUUUGAGUUUUUGAUGUUUCCAAUC
This is a non-coding RNA of Pelobates cultripes (western spadefoot toad), 471 nucleotides long. NCBI's taxonomy places the organism in Eukaryota, Metazoa, Chordata, Amphibia, Anura, Pelobatidae. The record is from the annotation of a GenBank genome assembly.